AUUUCACUCUUUCAACUGUU
This 20-nucleotide microRNA is filed under the name Ciona intestinalis (vase tunicate). RNAcentral describes it as "cin-miR-4060-5p". The record is from miRBase by way of RNAcentral. Lineage: Eukaryota; Metazoa; Chordata; Ascidiacea; Phlebobranchia; Cionidae.